UCCAGACUCCUACGGGAGGCAGCAGUGGGGGAUAUUGCACAAUGGGGGGAACCCUGAUGCAGCGACGCCGCGUGGGUGAAGGAGCGUUUCGGCGCGUAAAGCCCUAUCGGCAGGGAAGAAGGAGGACGGUACCUGACUAAGAGGCCCCGGCUAACUACGUGCCAGCAGCCGCGGUAAUACGUAGGGGGCAAGCGUUAUCCGGAUUUACUGGGUGUAAAGGGGGCGCAGACGGCAGCGCAAGCCAGGAGUGAAAGCCCGGGGCCCAACCCCGGGACUGCUCUUGGAACUGCGCGGCUGGAGUGCAGGAGGGGCAGGCGGAAUUCCUGGUGUAGCGGUGAAAUGCGUAGAUAUCAGGAGGAACACCGGUGGCGAAGGCGGCCUGCUGGACUGCAACUGACGUUGAGGCCCGAAAGCGUGGGGAGCAAACAGGAUUAGAUACCCCUGUAGA
RNAcentral lists this ribosomal RNA (448 nucleotides) under uncultured bacterium. Its description in RNAcentral is "partial 16S ribosomal RNA". It matches the Rfam family "Bacterial small subunit ribosomal RNA", at positions 330 to 794 of the family's 1533-position model. The record is from RNAcentral.